GACGUAGGGGGCGAGCGUUGUCCGGAAUUACUGGGCGUAAAGAGCACGUAGGCGGGUAUGAAAGUCAGAUGUGAAAGACCAGGGCUCAACCCUGGGUUGGCAUUUGAAACUUUAUAUCUUGAGGGCAGGAGAGGAAAGCGGAAUUCCUGGUGUAGCGGUGAAAUGCGUAGAAAUCAGGAGGAACACCAGUGGCGAAGGCGGCUUUCUGGACUGGCCCUGACGCUGAGGUGCGAAAGCGUGGGGAG
Molecule: ribosomal RNA, 245 nt
Filed under: uncultured Syntrophomonas sp.
Lineage: Bacteria; Bacillati; Bacillota; Clostridia; Eubacteriales; Syntrophomonadaceae
Description: partial 16S ribosomal RNA
Rfam family: Bacterial small subunit ribosomal RNA
Source: RNAcentral